AAGUCGAGCGCGGGAAGCAAGCUGAUCCCCUUCGGGGGUGACGCUUGUGGAACGAGCGGCGGACGGGUGAGUAACACGUGGGCAACCUGCCUGUAAGACUGGGAUAACCCCGGGAAACCGGGGCUAAUACCGGAUAACACCGGACUCCACAUGGAGUCGGGUUGAAAGAUGGCUUCUCGCUAUCACUUACAGAUGGGCCCGCGGCGCAUUAGCUAGUUGGUGAGGUAACGGCUCACCAAGGCGACGAUGCGUAGCCGACCUGAGAGGGUGAUCGGCCACACUGGGACUGAGACACGGCCCAGACUCCUACGGGAGGCAGCAGUAGGGAAUCUUCCGCAAUGGACGAAAGUCUGACGGAGCAACGCCGCGUGAACGAUGAAGGUCUUCGGAUCGUAAAGUUCUGUUGUCAGGGAAGAACAAGUGCCGUGCGAAUAGAGCGGCACCUUGACGGUACCUGACGAGGAAGCCCCGGCUAACUACGUGCCAGCAGCCGCGGUAAUACGUAGGGGGCAAGCGUUGUCCGGAAUUAUUGGGCGUAAAGCGCGCGCAGGCGGUUCCUUAAGUCUGAUGUGAAAGCCCACGGCUCAACCGUGGAGGGUCAUUGGAAACUGGGGAACUUGAGUACAGAAGAGGAGAGUGGAAUUCCACGUGUAGCGGUGAAAUGCGCAGAUAUCGAGAGAGACACACACAU
RNAcentral lists this ribosomal RNA (691 nucleotides) under Thalassobacillus sp. SCULCB HNA-9. RNAcentral's name for it is "bacterial SSU rRNA". It matches the Rfam family "Bacterial small subunit ribosomal RNA", at positions 59 to 715 of the family's 1533-position model. The record is from RNAcentral. Lineage: Bacteria; Bacillati; Bacillota; Bacilli; Caryophanales; Bacillaceae.